RNAcentral lists this small RNA (81 nucleotides) under Pedobacter alluvionis. Its description in RNAcentral is "Flavo-1 RNA". The record is from RNAcentral. Lineage: Bacteria; Pseudomonadati; Bacteroidota; Sphingobacteriia; Sphingobacteriales; Sphingobacteriaceae.
UCUUAAACCUGAUAGUAGCGGGCAUUCCGUCCCGAUUUUAUAUCGGGAUCAAGAGGGAUAAAGCGGAUGGCAGGGCUGCAU